CUUUACAUUUUUAGACCUAAAUUGCCAGUUGACUAAUUUAUUUUUGAUAUAUUAUAUUAUAUAUGUGUUUUCAUUCAUGGAAUUGAUUAGGUAACUGUUUUUAUCUUAUAACUGUUUUUAUACUUUACAGUCCAUGGUUUGUAGUGCACACAGUGUCCCGUGCUUAUAACAGCCUGAAGCAUGGACCUGCAUACGUCACCAAACCAGGCGGAGGGCGUGGCAUUCGCAGCAAAGUACACCGCUGAUUGGCUCAGUCCCGGUGAGCCCGCCCUGUUUCUCUCAGAGCGGCCAAUGAGAAGCUGGGCGGAGAUUCGUGCCGUCGUCGCUCUGCUGCGUUUGUAAACACAAAGCGGCUCCUAACAAAAUGUGCAGCGCAGCACGUGAUCUCGUAUAAUCAGUGCUGUUAAAGCGCUGGGUUUAUAUAGAGAAUUAAAAUGGCACAGUUUUUUAACUGUAGUCCGACGAGCCUGGACAGAAAGGCGUGGCUGCCUGUGCGGACGGCCGUGGCUGUGCUGCUCACGGUUAUUGUGUUUAAGUUUGUGUUCUCGUGUCCGUGCACCGCUCCGGCGGAGACCGUGCUGCACUGCUGGCUGUAUCUGCUGCUGCCGGUGGGGAUCGUGUUCUUUAUCCUGGCUCUGCUGGACCCGCGGCUGCUGAAGGCGUGUCAGUGUUGUGGAUGUAGGUGCUGUGUCCGCUCGGGGAGCCGCUGCUCUGAGUGCUGCUGCUGCUGCUGCUGCUGUGCUGGAGAACACAGUUACCGCCCCGCGAGCUGCUGCGGGGAGGAGGGCAGGUAUUUCUGCGCGCUGAUAUUUGGACAUGUCCUGAACGUGUUUUACGCGGCAUCGCUCUGGAUCGUGGUGGCGUUUCUGGACGGUGACUGGUACGUGUGUGUCCGGACCGCUGUGGAGAGCGGCACGGGGGAACAAAUCGCCUGCAAGGAUUUGCCAACCCCAAGAGGCAGAAACUUUAAGAAAGUACAACAGCGAGUCCCGAAUAAUUGGACUAAUUCUCAUUUUGGGACUUUCACUCCUGUUGACCGUAAUUUCAUCUCUCAAGACCUGUUGGAAGCCGUAUUACAAGUCCCUGUAUGAGGUUUAUGUGGAGCAGGAGACCUCUGCUAUGCUGGAGGAAAAGCUACGAGAGCAGGCUGUGGAGAGAGCCAAGCUGAUGACUGAGAAUGCAAUAAAAAACAUUCAGAAUCAGCCUGUGAGCA
This 1213-nucleotide long non-coding RNA is filed under the name Astyanax mexicanus (Mexican tetra). RNAcentral's name for it is "lncRNA (ENSAMXG00005024443.1)". Lineage: Eukaryota; Metazoa; Chordata; Actinopteri; Characiformes; Acestrorhamphidae. The record is from RNAcentral.